Molecule: ribosomal RNA, 639 nt
Filed under: Phaeoacremonium minimum
Lineage: Eukaryota; Fungi; Ascomycota; Sordariomycetes; Togniniales; Togniniaceae
Description: eukaryotic LSU rRNA
Rfam family: Eukaryotic large subunit ribosomal RNA
Source: RNAcentral
GUUGACCUCGGAUCAGGUAGGAAUACCCGCUGAACUUAAGCAUAUCAAUAAGCGGAGGAAAAGAAACCAACAGGGAUUGCCCCAGUAACGGCGAGUGAAGCGGCAACAGCUCAAAUUUGAAAUCUGGCCUCGGCCCGAGUUGUAAUUUGCAGAGGAUGUUUCUGGCGCGGUGCCUUCUGAGUUCCCUGGAACGGGACGCCAUAGAGGGUGAGAGCCCCGUACGGUUGGACGCCUAGCCUGUGUGAAACUCCUUCGACGAGUCGAGUAGUUUGGGAAUGCUGCUCAAAAUGGGAGGUAUAUCUCUUCUAAAGCUAAAUACCGGCCAGAGACCGAUAGCGCACAAGUAGAGUGAUCGAAAGAUGAAAAGCACCUUGAAAAGGGGGUUAAACAGCACGUGAAAUUGUUGAAAGGGAAGCGCCCAUGACCAGACUUGUGCCCGGCGGAUCACCCAGCGUUCUCGCUGGGGCACUCCGCCGGGUCCAGGCCAGCAUCGGUUUUCGCCGGGGGAUAAAGGCUCUGGGAACGUAGCUCCUCCGGGAGUGUUAUAGCCCUCUGCGUAAUACCCUGGCGGGGACCGAGGUACGCGCUCCGCAAGGAUGCUGGCGUAAUGGUCAUCAGCGACCCGUCUUGAAACACGGA